This is a long non-coding RNA of Zingiber officinale, 528 nucleotides long. RefSeq lists it as uncharacterized. NCBI's taxonomy places the organism in Eukaryota, Viridiplantae, Streptophyta, Magnoliopsida, Zingiberales, Zingiberaceae. The record is from RefSeq and is a predicted model, not a curated record. The transcript has 3 exons.
CCAGCCGCCGAACUCGCGUGCCCUAGAGGGUUGGGUUCACGACAACGCGCCGAUUCUUCUCUGUGUUCGGCCUCUCCACCGCCGCACACCGCUGAGAGCCGGCUCUCCUCCUUGUGUUCACGACCGCUCCACAUCUGCACCGUGCCGACGCCGACUUCUUCAUCUCUGCGCCACUGCCUCUGCGUGCCACUGCCUCCACACCUUCUUCACUGUGGUCACACCUCUAGUGCCCUAGCAGUGAUCUGGGAGUGCUUGACCUUGCUUGGACCAGUCGGUGGAGAUUUCUUUUCCCUGUGUUGCUGCUGUGCCCUAGUGCACCAUUACCGGUGCCACUCUCUUCUUUACAGCAGAGUGGUGAUUUUAGAGUGAAGUGUCCGACUUGUAAAGUGUGCUUUAGUUUGUUCAAGACUUCCAGCAGCAACCCCAUCCAGUAGCCCUUGCUUCAGCAGCAACAGCAACGGUGGUUGAGGAUUUUGACACGAGACGAGUAUCUCGGAGUCGGAUUGGACUUUUCUUAUCGGAGGCGGG